Spinacia oleracea (spinach) is the source of this 1092-nucleotide long non-coding RNA. RefSeq lists it as uncharacterized. The transcript is spliced from 3 exons. NCBI's taxonomy places the organism in Eukaryota, Viridiplantae, Streptophyta, Magnoliopsida, Caryophyllales, Amaranthaceae. The record is from RefSeq and is a predicted model, not a curated record.
UUAAGCACUGGCGCGGCGGAUUGUAAAACUCAGAAAAUAAAACCUCCCCGCAAAACCUAUUCCAAAGUUAACCUCACCUUCCGCAGAACCUAAAUUCAUCCUCCCGCAAAAUCCAAACCAUAACCGCACAUCACCAAAAUCUCCCACGUUGUACCGCCGCCGCCGCAAUACCGCCGCUCUUUUUCAAUCUCUGGUGAAGUCGAGUUUCAUAGUCCGAUUUUUUAGGGUGUUAGCAGUUUAUGUUCCUUGGCGAUUGAGAAUGACAAAGGUGUCCAUAUAGUUGUCGUUGGAGAAGUGUACGUUGGGAAGGAAGGAGAAGUGGUCAAGAAUCAUUUCAAACCCGUGCCUAGUGGUCAUUAUCGAGUUUGUAUUGAAGAAGAUAUCAACCCAAGUGCAACAUUGCCAUGUCCCGAGGGGGAAACAAAAUUCGUUUGUCAAAGCUUGGAUAGAUUUUUUAUAUGGGCUGCUCAUUUGGUUUUUUCGUUAAAGAAGAUAACUAAUGUAUCCUUAAGAAGAAGAACCUUGUUGUCAAGAUAUGCGAUGAUGUUGCUACACGAGGUGCUCGCAUUACUGAUGCUGCAAUACUGGUAUCGAUGUUGAUGUUGUUGCUGAUGAAGAUGAAGAUGAAGAUGAUGAUAACGAUGAUCUAGUGUGACUUAAGCUAGCUCAAGGAGAUGGUUACCUAAGUUGUUGCAAAAGUCGUUGUUGCUGCAUAAGUUGUUCUUGCUGCAGAAGCUCCUGCAGCAAAAUCCAAUCUCCGGUCCAAGUUGUUUACAAUCACCUCUUGGACUAGAAUCACCACCAAACAUGGGUUAAUCAAAGAUAACACCUUUUAACAUUUAAAGGUUUAGUCUUUUUGAGAUUCAAAACUCCAUUUUCAAUAUACAAGUUCUAGUUUUCAAUUUUCAAGAUCUUACCAUGUUUAGGGUUAUUCAUAGUUAUUUCCCUAAACUAGGAUCAUUUCAAGUUCAAGUUUCAAUCAUUUCAAGUUCAAAACUUCAAUAUUCAAGCUUUCAAGUUCAAGUUUAACGUACAAAAUCUAGGACAUUUGGGUUGAGCAACCUCUCCCAAGUUGAGAUUUUUGGCUUUGAA